AAAAUGGAAGAAUAUUCUAAUAGUGAUCUUGAAGAUUAAACAUGUAAUAAUUAAUACCUUGGGCUUAGAAAGAACCAAAUUUAGUGUCAUGCAAGUUUGUAAGUUUUGGGUGAACUUCAAACGAUCAUAACUUUUAGCACAUGAUGUUUUACGUGGAUCAUGAGGUAUCAAAUCAAAGGUCGUUGAGUCCUCUUUCCAACGCCACUGAAUUUGCUAAAUUCUGAGUUUGGAUGAAGGAGAUAUGCCCAUUUGAGUACAACCUCUCUAGAUAUAACUGUUUAUCCAUUUAAAGGAGGGAUAUUUUGGUAUUUUCCUUACCCCGUUAAGCCCACACAUUUUGACUCGCCCAAAUAGAGAUCUAAGCGGAUUGAUUUCAGUUUUUAAUCUCUCAAAAAAAAAUGUUUAAGCAAGUUAGGGAAAGCUCAAAAGGAAAAGGGGUCAAGAAGUUCUUCAAGGUUUUUGGGGAAAUUGUCAACAACGUGGUUCUUUCAAGGCUGGAGAUGCUCCUAUUGAAGCAGAAGGAAGUUUAGUUGUUGAUGAAGAAGUUUAGUUGUUGAUGAAGAAAGGAUGUUGACGAUUGGAACAUAUCAAAAAAACAGGUCCAACGAAGCUGACUGACGAGUUUAUAACACUGUUGUAGAGUUAAAGUUGCACUAGAAUUAGACUACUUAUAUUAGGAUUAGAAUUAUAUUACGACUAGGAUUAAAUUACUAUCAGAAUUAUAGUACAACUAGAGUUUAGAUUUAUUAUUAUUAUAGUAAUAAUAGGUAUUUUAGUAGGAACCUAAGUACUGUUAACUUAUGACUCUACAAUUCUCUCCUAUAUAAGGAGUAUGUACUUAACAUUAUUUUUCCUCAAUACAAUCAAUAUAUUCCUUGAUUUCUCUAAUCCUAAAUGUGAUAUUUCUACAUGGUAUCAGAGCUUAAAAGCUUUCCGUUCUCAGAGUAUUGAUUAAAAAAAAUCACAUGUUGCAAUGACCCCUUCUACCAAAACCAUGUCAACCUCCUCACUUCACCAAAUAAUUGUCGCUUGCUCCACUAAACUUACUACCUCAUAAAGAGGACACAUAUAUCCCAAUUGAUUCAUAUCACAGAGAGUGAACCAAGUAAAAGUUGUUGUUCCACUGUACAAACUAUUGGAAAGUUGUAGCUGCUAAGAAGGAUGUAAAAGAUAGUGACACUAUUGAUGAUUGGAAAGAGAAAGAUGUGUUUUUAAGAAGUUGAAUCUCAAGCACCUUAACUGAUGCUCAACUGCCAAGGAGAUGUGGGAAUGCUUGGAAGAAACUUAUCUUCAAGUAACAAAAGCGAUUAAUUUUGCUAGAGGUGUAGGUAAGUCACCAUAUCCCACCCUUAAUUAAUUUGUUAAUGCUCUUACAGGCUUUGAUAUAAGGGAAGAGGAAGAAAAAGUAUCACAACAAAACCAUUACAUGGUAGUAUCUGCCCAAAAAGGCUGGGGAAGAGGAAACAACAACAAUAACAUACCAAACCAUUGACAGAACAAGUUUUUGUUGGAUAUUCAAAGUUUUUUUUGCUGGAUAUUCAAAAACAACAUCAUCAAUAUAUCGAAGCAUUGACAAAACAAGUUUUGCUGGGUAUUCAAAGUUUUUUUUGUGCUGGAUAUUCAAAGCAAACAAGCUAGGAGUAACCGUUCAUCUACUCACUAGCUUGAAGGGAAGUGUUGAAAAAGAAGGAAGUUGACGAUUAGAACAUAUCAAAGGAACAUGUCCAAUGCAUCUGACUGAUGUUUCUGCAGCAAGUGUUGAUGAAGAAAGGAAGCUGAUGAUUGGAACAUGUCCAACAAAUCUGACUGACGAAUUUACAACACUACUGUAGAGUUAGAGUCGCACUAAGAUUAGACUACUUAUAUUAGGAUUAGAAUUAUAUUACGACUAGGAUUAGAUUACUAUCAGAAUUAUAGUACAACUAGGAUUUAGAUUAUUUAUAAUUGCAUUAUUAUUAUUAUUAUUAUAGUAAUAAUAGGUAUUGUAGUAGGACUCGAAGUAUAGUUAAUUAUGAUUCUACAAUUCUCCUCCUAUAUAAGGAGUAUGUACUUAACAUUGUUUUUCAUUAAUACAUCAAUACAAUUAAUACAAUCCUUAAUUUCUC
Solanum lycopersicum (tomato) is the source of this 2105-nucleotide long non-coding RNA. RefSeq lists it as uncharacterized. The record is from RefSeq and is a predicted model, not a curated record. NCBI's taxonomy places the organism in Eukaryota, Viridiplantae, Streptophyta, Magnoliopsida, Solanales, Solanaceae.